This is a long non-coding RNA of Symphalangus syndactylus (siamang), 1356 nucleotides long. RefSeq lists it as uncharacterized. Lineage: Eukaryota; Metazoa; Chordata; Mammalia; Primates; Hylobatidae. The record is from RefSeq and is a predicted model, not a curated record.
ACUCCAGUGACUGCCUCUCAGAAAAGAACAGGGCAAUGUCCAUUCUCCUUUUAUUUUCUUUAAGCACCUGAUCAUUCUAAAAGCAUGUGUUCCUCUGUGUGUGUGAGUUAUGUACACGUGUGUGUGUUUCCCUUUCUUUUCUCGAACUCCAGGCCCAUGACUGCUUAUUUGCAUGGUGUGUUACUGUCAAAGGUGGGUGAAAUGUCUUCUCCACAUACCCAGCUUCAUUCCACUCUAGGAGUUUAACUUCUCCAACAUAGUUGUGGGAUCCCUGGUGACCUCAGUUUCUCCUCUCCGCGUCAUCCAGGACUUCACCUGAAGCUUGAGCUACAUGUGAGGCUUCAUCUACCUUGGACAGGGCAAUGGAGAGAGGAUGGCAUACCAGAAUCACCAGACGACAGACAUUGGGGUCCCGUCGGACCCAGGAAUCAGAAUCUCUGCAGAUAGGUAUUUUGGAAGGUGCUCCGUAGAUUGGCACCUCUGAAUCCUGCAAGUAGACUGACAGCUGCAUGUUUGCAGGAAAGUUAAAUAUUUUGACAGUGCAGAAAAGUGCUGCAUCUGGAGGGUUCUGGGUCCAGCUAUAACCAGACUUGCCUGUCCUAAACAAAUGGAUUGACUGCUUCCGGCAUCCUCACUUGACUUCUGCAUGGUGACCAACAUCCGGAGCUUAAUUACCUGACAGCCAGGAGAUAACAAAAAUGUCACGUCUGAGCCCCUGACAGCAACCCCAGAGGAGCUCCAGGUUUGAGGCAGCGCUGGCAGGACGUGGUCUAUCUGCCAUCUGAAGCCCUUCAUUGCCCGCCUGGCUGUGAAUCUCACCUCCUCUAUAGUGGAAAACAGGCCGAACAGACCUGGCAGGCAGGUAAGGGACAGCAAACCUUGCAGGGAGGGCCUAGUGCUGAAGCUAAGCCAGCCCUUUGAGUUCAAGCUCAAAGGCAUGUGAUGCCAGCUUUCCAGGGGAGCUAAGAUUCUUCUGAGAAAAAGAAUGAGAGAGAGAUACGCAGCUGCAGUAGAGGACUUGGAAGAGAACAACGCCAGGGCCUGGAUCCUGCAAGAGUCUUCUCUGGAAAAGCAGGGGAGAGAAAAGCAAGGAAGGAAGCAGGGUCACCGCAAGUGUGGGAUUUGUCUUAUUAAAAUCUGAUACUGUGUGGCAGUUUGCUUCACUCUUGGUAUAAAAUGUCUGAGCUCCAUGUUAAAGUAAAUGUAGUAAUGUAAAAUCUGCCUUUCCCGAGGUGAAAAUAGAUCCAUAUUAUUUAAAAUAUGAACUGAGAUAGAUGACAGUUACAAACAUUAUACUUGUUCUUAUUAUAAUUCUUACUAAGCUCAAGGAAUAAAAACUGGGAUGAUGAAAAAGAA